UACGUAGGGUGCAAGCGUUGUCCGGAAUUAUUGGGCGUAAAGAGCUUGUAGGCGGUUUGUCGCGUCUGCUGUGAAAUUUCGGGGCUCAACCCCGAACUUGCAGUGGGUACGGGCAGGCUAGAGUGUGGUAGGGGAGACUGGAAUUCCUGGUGUAGCGGUGAAAUGCGCAGAUAUCAGGAGGAACACCGGUGGCGAAGGCGGGGUCUCUGGGCCGAUACUGACGCUGAGGAGCGAAAGCGUGGGGAGCGAACAGG
RNAcentral lists this ribosomal RNA (254 nucleotides) under uncultured bacterium. RNAcentral describes it as "partial 16S ribosomal RNA". It matches the Rfam family "Bacterial small subunit ribosomal RNA", at positions 524 to 776 of the family's 1533-position model. The record is from RNAcentral.